ACGUAGGGUGCGAGCGUUAAUCGGAAUUACUGGGCGUAAAGCGUGCGUAGGCGGUUUUGUAAGACAGCUGUGAAAUCCCCGGGCUCAACCUGGGAACUGCGGUUGUGACUGCAAGACUGGAGUACGGCAGAGGGGGGUGGAAUUCCUGGUGUAGCAGUGAAAUGCGUAGAUAUCAGGAGGAACACCGAUGGCGAAGGCAGCCCCCUGGGCCUGUACUGACGCUCAAGCACGAAAGCGUGGGGAGCAAACAG
RNAcentral lists this ribosomal RNA (251 nucleotides) under uncultured prokaryote. RNAcentral describes it as "partial 16S rRNA". It matches the Rfam family "Bacterial small subunit ribosomal RNA", at positions 525 to 775 of the family's 1533-position model. The record is from RNAcentral.